RNAcentral lists this transfer RNA (72 nucleotides) under Bos taurus (domestic cattle). It matches the Rfam family "tRNA". From Rfam's summary of the family: Transfer RNA (tRNA) molecules are approximately 80 nucleotides in length. Their secondary structure includes four short double-helical elements and three loops (D, anti-codon, and T loops). Lineage: Eukaryota; Metazoa; Chordata; Mammalia; Artiodactyla; Bovidae. The record is from Rfam by way of RNAcentral. RNAcentral also lists the same sequence under 1 other name.
UCCUUGGUGGCUCAGACGGUAAAGCGUCUGCCUACAAUGCGGGAGACCCGGGUUCGAUCCCUGGGUCAGGAA